This 70-nucleotide transfer RNA is filed under the name Dipodomys ordii (Ord's kangaroo rat). It matches the Rfam family "tRNA". From Rfam's summary of the family: Transfer RNA (tRNA) molecules are approximately 80 nucleotides in length. Their secondary structure includes four short double-helical elements and three loops (D, anti-codon, and T loops). The record is from Rfam by way of RNAcentral. Lineage: Eukaryota; Metazoa; Chordata; Mammalia; Rodentia; Heteromyidae.
GGGAAAGUGGCUCAGUGGUAGAGUGCUUGCCUUGCAUGCAUGAGGCCCUGGGUUCGUUUCCUCAGCACCA